GACGAACGCUGGCGGCGUGCUUAACACAUGCAAGUCGAACGGAAAGGCCCUGCUUUUGUGGGGUGCUCGAGUGGCGAACGGGUGAGUAACACGCGAGUAACCUGCCCUUGACUUUGGGAUAACUUCAGGAAACUGGGGCUAAUACCGCAUAGGAGCUCCUGCUGCAUGGUGGGGGUUGGAAAGUUUCGGCGGUUGGGGAUGGACUCGCGGCUUAUCAGCUUGUUGGUGGGGUAGUGGCUUACCAAGGCUUCGACGGGUAGGCGGCCUGAGAGGGUGACCGGCCACAUUGGGACUGCGAUACGGCCCAGACUCCUACGGUAGGCAGCAGUGGGGAGUAUUGCACAAUGGGCCGAAGCCUGAUGCAGCAACGCCGCGUGCGGGAUGACGGCCUUCGGGUUGUAAACCGCUUUCGCCUGUAACGAAGCGUGAGUGACGGUAAUGGGUAAAGAAGCACCGGCUAACUACGUG
RNAcentral lists this ribosomal RNA (468 nucleotides) under uncultured bacterium. Its description in RNAcentral is "partial 16S ribosomal RNA". It matches the Rfam family "Bacterial small subunit ribosomal RNA", at positions 28 to 507 of the family's 1533-position model. The record is from RNAcentral.